AUACGGAGGAUGCAAGCGUUAUCCGGAUUUAUUGGGUUUAAAGGGUGCGUAGGCUGUUCGACAAGUCAGGGGUGAAAGCCCAGUGCCUAACACUGGAACUGCCUUUGAUACUGCCGAGCUGGAAUACGGAUGCCGUGGGAGGAAUGAGUAGUGUAGCGGUGAAAUGCAUAGAUAUUACUCAGAACACCGAUUGCGAAGGCAUCUCACGAAUCCGUCAUUGACGCUGAGGCACGAAAGCGUGGGGAUCAAACAGGAUUAGAUACCCUGGUAGUCCACGCAGUAAACGAUGAUAACUAAACGUCGGCGAUACACAGUCGGUGGCCAAGCGAAAGCGAUAAGUUAUCCACCUGGGGAGUACGUUCGCAAGAAUGAAACUCAAAUGAAUUGACGGGG
This 393-nucleotide ribosomal RNA is filed under the name uncultured bacterium. RNAcentral describes it as "partial 16S ribosomal RNA". It matches the Rfam family "Bacterial small subunit ribosomal RNA", at positions 523 to 918 of the family's 1533-position model. The record is from RNAcentral.